Long non-coding RNA from Gossypium arboreum, 951 nucleotides. RefSeq lists it as uncharacterized. The transcript has 2 exons. The record is from RefSeq and is a predicted model, not a curated record. Lineage: Eukaryota; Viridiplantae; Streptophyta; Magnoliopsida; Malvales; Malvaceae.
UCGUUUUUGUGGGGCUAUAAAAGGCCAAAGAUUUUGAAAAAAAAUAAUCAUCUCUCUUCUGUGAAACAAAAAAAACUCAGCCCUCUCUUCCCCUCUCUGGGUAAACCCAGUAGCUGGCCAAAUGGGAUCGUCGGACUGUCGCAAGGUCGCCGUCGGACGCCGGUGGCAGGAACUCCAAAAAGGUGAAAGUGGAGGGCGGAGGAUGUGACAUGGAGGUGGCAGCAGAGGCGGUGGCUAGGCUUUGACAGUGGCUAGGGUUUAUUUCUUUUUUUUUUUUUUUGUAUGUUAAGGUCUUGGGUCGGUUUAGUGGGCUUAGGGUUGUUGGGUUUGUGUUUUGGGCUAGGUUUAUUUAGAGUUUAGUUUGGGGUUAUUUGGGUUUAGGGUUUUGUUUUAGCCCAGGCAUAAUUUGGGGUUUACACAUGCAAUAGAUUCAAAAAUAAAAAUAAAAAGAGCAAUAAAGGCAGGAAGUGAAAAAAAAUGCAAAAAUCCUUUGAAAAGCUUUGUAUCUCUUUUUUUUUUUUUUAGUAUUGAUUGUGUGUUCCCCCCUCCCCUUUUACAUUAGUUUUUGGUGGCUUUAUAUAACCGAGGCAUUACAUGUGAUUUUCGUCCUUGCUACUGUUCAAUCCCUGCUUUGUAUUGUUUCUGCCUCUGUUCUGUAUGGUUUUGCUUCUGUUUUGCCUCUGUCUCUUUGCUAUUUUGGUCUUCUUUGCAGGUUCGUGAGGCGCAGGCGAUGGGACGGGGCGGGUUAGGCGCCCGAGGAUGAGCGGCGCACAUGGGAUCCUCUAGGGUUUCGUUUCUAAGUUGGCUUUAGGUUUUGGGCUUUUAGAAUUUGGGUUUGUAUUGGGUUUGUUUAUUAUUAUUUGGGCUUGUUGGGCCCGGGCAAAUUUGGGCCCGUACAACUAAUUUUAUAUUUUUUUAUAUUUUUAUAAUUUUCUUACUAACUUUAUAAAA